GUUAAGGUAAGGGUAGCAGUUAAAUAAAGGUGUAAAAAAUAGGUACAAAGCUGUUUCUGCGAGCUAGCUUGUUACAAUGCUAACUAGUGUGUAAGGAUAACAUUACAAGUGAUACAUUAAUUGUCAUUUAUGCCAAGUUCUUACUAGUUAGCUAUUCCCUGUACAAUGUAAUAGGGGACUUUUCGGGCUGCGUUUGUUGGCUAUGUUGCAGCAGGCUGUCACAAGCAUUCCACUGAUAAGAAUGAUUAUUUCCUAAGUUAUCUUUGAACAGUUAGGAGGGUUCAAAGAAAACCAAUUGACGGACCUUGUUCCAGUUGUAAUUAACAAUUCUGAAGGAGACCCCAAACUCCCAAUGGAAUAUUGAGGAUCACAUCAAAACCAAAUGUAGCCUACUUUCCUUUCAGAUUUUUUAUGGUGUUCCCACUGAUUGAUAUGUGAUGUUGUGUGUGUGCUUAAUGCCUAAUAUUACUGGAAAUGUGUUUUUGUUUUGUUUUUGUGUGUAUUGAUAGUGCCCAACAUUAGCCUUUAAUUGCUAAAGCCCCACUUCCUGUAUAUUUUGCUGGAGUUCAACAUCAUCAUGAUCAGGGGUAACAGUGGGUUGAAGCCCAAAGACAAUGAAAUUAACCCUAAACCCUGGCCAAUCAACUACCAGGUUAGCAUGUUGAAUACUUCAGUGUGGUUUGACAGUCCCAUAAAAAUAUUAACUUAUCACUGUGCCUUUGUUCUGUUUCUGUAAGGGGAUAGAGGUUCUCAGGAGUGAAUGAGACGGAAUACUGUGUCUACCUGUUAGGGAAUCCUGUGAUCUGGUGGCUGAACCUGGUCAGUCUAGGCCUGUAUGUGGUUAUGGUGGCAGCAGCCUCUCUGGCCUGCCGCAGAGGAGUCCAGCUGGACAAGAGAAACGUAGGUAGGAGGAUUUAGAACUUCCCUGUCACUGUCAUGAGUAACUUAUUUUGAGUACCUCAUUCUAACGCUGAUGUGUAUGUGUAGAGUUGUUGCGUGUUGAUGGAAGGUGGAGGACUGCUGCUCCUGGGAUGGCUGCUGCACUACGUACCCUGCUGCACUACGUACCCUUCUACACCACGUACCCUUCUACACCACAGGACGCAUCCUUUACUACCACCACUACUUCCCUGCCAUGCUCUUCAGCAGCAUGCUAACAGAUACAGUGGGCCUACCACAAAAACACAUGCUCCCCAUAAUUCCCCCGGUCAUGUAGACCAACUCAGUGGCCUUGUGAUUAGUAUCGGUCCUUGGAGUGGAAGGUUGGGAGUUCGAUUCAUACCAAAAGACAAAAAAUGUGAUCCGAAACGUCUCUGCCUGGAGCCACCACAGCAUCAAUGAGAUCGAUUGGGGGUAAGGCCAUCAAGCUGCCUCAUGCUGCAGAAACAGGAGGUAGGCUCCUGCUCCAAUGAGCUGUUCUGGCUCGCACAAGGCUACUUACAGUUGAAGUCGGAAGUUUACAUACACUUAGGUUGGAGUUAUUAAAAUUCGUUUUUCAACC
Molecule: long non-coding RNA, 1501 nt
Organism: Oncorhynchus kisutch (coho salmon)
Lineage: Eukaryota; Metazoa; Chordata; Actinopteri; Salmoniformes; Salmonidae
Exons: 3
Source: RefSeq, a predicted model, not a curated record